CCUACGGGAGGCAGCAGUGGGGAAUUUUGGACAAUGGGCGCAAGCCUGAUCCAGCCAUGCCGCGUGCGGGAAGAAGGCCUUCGGGUUGUAAACCGCUUUUGUCAGGGAAGAAACGCUCUGGGCUAAUACCCUGGGGUAAUGACGGUACCUGAAGAAUAAGCACCGGCUAACUACGUGCCAGCAGCCGCGGUAAUACGUAGGGUGCAAGCGUUAAUCGGAAUUACUGGGCGUAAAGCGUGCGCAGGCGGUUAUGCAAGACAGAUGUGAAAUCCCCGGGCUCAACCUGGGAACUGCAUUUGUGACUGCAUGGCUAGAGUGCGGCAGAGGGGGAUGGAAUUCCGCGUGUAGCAGUGAAAUGCGUAGAUAUGCGGAGGAACACCGAUGGCGAAGGCAAUCCCCUGGGCCUGCACUGACGCUCAUGCACGAAAGCGUGGGGAGCAAACAGGAUUAGAUACCCUGGUAGUCCACGCCCUAAACGAUGUCAACUGGUUGUUGGGAGGGUUUCUUCUCAGUAACGAAGCUAACGCGUGAAGUUGACCGCCUGGGGAGUACGGCCGCAAGGUUGAAACGUCAAAGGAAUUGACGG
This 586-nucleotide ribosomal RNA is filed under the name uncultured bacterium. RNAcentral's name for it is "bacterial SSU rRNA". It matches the Rfam family "Bacterial small subunit ribosomal RNA", at positions 338 to 916 of the family's 1533-position model. The record is from RNAcentral.